GAGAGUUGGAAAUACCCGAAGCCUGUGAGCUAACUUAAAGAGGCAGCAGUCGAAGGUAGAGCCAAUGAUUGGGGUGAAGUCGUAACAAGGUACC
RNAcentral lists this ribosomal RNA (94 nucleotides) under uncultured bacterium. Its description in RNAcentral is "partial 16S ribosomal RNA". It matches the Rfam family "Bacterial small subunit ribosomal RNA", at positions 1406 to 1500 of the family's 1533-position model. The record is from RNAcentral.